UAACGUAGGGGGCUAGCGUUGUCCGGAUUUAUUGGCGUAAAGCGCGCGCAGGCGGUUCUCCAAGUCAGUGGUGAAAGCCCCGGAGCUCAACUCCGGAAUUAGCCAUUGAAACUGUUGAACUCGAGGACGAGAGAGGUGAGUGGAAUUCCCAGUGUAGAGGUGAAAUUCGUAGAUAUUGGGAAGAACACCGGUGGCGAAGGCGGCUCACUGGCUCGUUUCUGACGCUCAGGCGCGACAGCGUGGGGAUCAAACAGG
This 255-nucleotide ribosomal RNA is filed under the name uncultured bacterium. RNAcentral's name for it is "partial 16S ribosomal RNA". It matches the Rfam family "Bacterial small subunit ribosomal RNA", at positions 523 to 776 of the family's 1533-position model. The record is from RNAcentral.